RNAcentral lists this ribosomal RNA (328 nucleotides) under Scrippsiella trochoidea. Its description in RNAcentral is "partial Bacterial large subunit ribosomal RNA". It matches the Rfam family "Bacterial large subunit ribosomal RNA", at positions 2148 to 2487 of the family's 2925-position model. The record is from RNAcentral. Lineage: Eukaryota; Dinophyceae; Peridiniales; Peridiniaceae.
CGGGAGACUCUGAAGCUGCGUCGCCAGGCGUGGUGGAGUCGUUGGUGAAAUACCGCCCUUUAUUUAUCUGAUGCCUAAUCCAUUUAUGGAGACAGUGUGUGGUGGGUAGUUUGACUGGGGUGGUCGCCUCCAAAAGAGUAACGGAGGCUCCUAAAGGUACCCUCAACACGCUUGGUAACCGUGUGUAGAGUGUAAUGGCAUAAGGGUGCUUGACUGAGAGACCGACAAGUCGACCAGGUAGGAAACUAGAGCAUAGUGAUCCGGUGGUUCCGCAUGGAAGGGCCAUCGCUCAAAGGAUAAAAGGUACUCCGGGGAUAACAGGCUGAUC